Molecule: non-coding RNA, 2652 nt
Organism: Bemisia tabaci
Lineage: Eukaryota; Metazoa; Arthropoda; Insecta; Hemiptera; Aleyrodidae
Source: RefSeq, a predicted model, not a curated record
GAUCCAAGUCUCUGUUUACGCUCAGUUUACCCGCAGCCCGCAACCCGCUUGCCACCACCUCCGCGCACGUCCACGCCGCGCCGCAACCGUGUCCCGUCCGUGAUAACGUCCAUAUCAGUGUCCGCGACUCGACGCGCCAGCUUCCAAAGUUCCGAUCGCUUGCUCCCGCCUAAACGCAACCAACUCGGCUCCAUCGCUGUAAUUUCGAAUUGUGGAUUAAAUCAAGCUCCAAUCGAUUCAGAGCCUGUAGCUGCAUCGACGCAACACCUCCAAUUAGCUGUCGUUUACGUGCCAGGAGGUUGUUGCGUAGCUCGUCGUCUCCAUCGCGGGCAUGCGCACGUCGGCGUCCGAUGCACGCUGAGCCGCUGGAAUCUGGAACGAAGCUGAGGUCGUGUCGGGAGUCCUGCUGACAUGAAAACGGAGACCCUGAGCCUGGCGACGGAGGACACGCACGACUAUCCGGACAGCCACAGUCGCACCGACUCGGACUCGAGCCGCCAUGAGCUGCUAGACGCCCACGCACACAUCGUCCAGCUGCCGCCCCUCCCGGGCGCCCCCGCCCCCGCGGAGCUCGCCUCCGUCCACGUCGUCCAGCCGGACCUCGUCACCUCCUCCGCCGAGCCCAAAGCCAACCCCAACCCCGAGCCGACCCUCCUCGAGGUCUGCGUCGCUCCGCCGCGGGAUCCCCGCCAAGAGGAUUACCCGCUCCCCUCCGAGGACACCUCUACCGCCACGCUGGCCACCUCCAAUUCCACAGAAGUUAUCACGAUGUCUUCAACAGAGACAACCAUAGCUUCGCUCGGAGGGAUUGUCCAAAGAGCGAAGACAGCUUUUCAGAGUGGUAAAACGAAACCAUAUGAAUUUAGGUACAAACAAUUGAAACAGCUCCUUCGGUUGUAUGAGGAAAAUGUUUCUGAUAUCAGUGAGGUUUUGGCAAAUGACCUCCGAAAGUGCAAGGCUGAAACAAUGAUGUUGGAGUUGAAUAUUCUCAUUGGUGAUGUGAAAAACACCUUGGCCCACUUGAAAGAAUGGAUGGAACCAGAGAAGCCCAGCAAAGCUUUGAUGUACCUAUUGGAUGGAGUUUAUAUCUACCACGAUCCGUACGGUGUUGCCUUAAUUAUGGGAGCAUGGAAUUACCCACUGCAGCUGUCCAUGUUACCUGUGGCUGGUGCCAUUGCUGCUGGCAAUUGUGUCAUUUUGAAACCAUCUGAAGUGGCUCCCUCGACAGCAAAAUUAAUGGCUGAACUUAUUCCGAAAUACUUAGAUCAGGAUUGUUAUCAAGUUGUUUUGGGCGGAGUUCAGGAAACAACAGAAUUAUUGAAAUAUAAAUUUGAUUACAUUUUCUAUACUGGCUCAACUUCGGUGGGUCAGAUUGUUCGCAAAGCUGCCAAUGAACAUCUCACUCCUGUGACUUUGGAGCUAGGUGGUAAAAGUCCCCUGUACAUAGACUCAUCAGCUAACCUAGACAUUGCAACUAAGAGGAUUUUAUGGGGAAAAUGUAUUAAUGCUGGACAGACAUGUAUUGCACCCGACUAUAUCCUCUGCACAAAAGAAAUCCAAGAGAAAUUUGUGCAAAAAGCGAAGAAAGUCCUCCUCGACUGGUAUGGAUCCAACCCGCAAACUUCUCCAGAUCUCUGUCGUAUAGUCUCUAAUAAACAUUUCCAACGAUUGUCGAAUCUCUUGAAAAAUGGGAAAGUUGCAGUUGGUGGGCAAACAGACCCUGUGGAAAAAUUCAUAGCUCCAACAAUUCUAGUUGAUGUUCAACCUACGGAUCCUAUAAUGCAAGAAGAAAUCUUUGGACCCAUUAUUCCCAUUAUCAACGUUGAAAAUGCAGCACAAGCAAUUCAGUUUAUCAACAACAGGCCGAAACCCUUAACAAUGUAUGUUUUCUCUGCAAGCAAGCAAAUACAAGACUUAUUUAUAUCGCAAACUUACUCUGGGUCGAUAUGUAUUAAUGACACAGUCAUGCACUAUGCAGUUGAGACAUUACCCUUUGGAGGAGUUGGAAUGAGUGGCAUGGGUGCCUAUCACGGAAAAUACAGUUUCGAUACCUUCACUCAUAGAAAAAGCUGUCUUGUCAAGGACUUCAAUCCGUUGGCUGAAUCUUUAGCUUCUGCACGAUACCCACCAUACUCUGAGAAAAAACUGAGUUUUAUCUCCUUCAUGAUGAAACUUCCUGCUAUCAAAAUGACAUAUCUACCCCAUGCCCUAAUGUUUGGAUUAGGUUUUGCUGCCUCUAUUGGAAUUAACUACUUACUCAAGACUAAGAGGCAGAAUUUUUUGAAGUAAUCAUUUGACAAGUUUUUAAUUUGCUGUUGGAUAAAUUCUCCAAUGUUAAUAGCAUGAAAGUUAACUCGUAAAGCUUUGAUGGGGCCAAGCUUACAACAAGGGACUGAAAUGCUUCUCAGAUGACAUCACAAGACGAUUCUCCGUCCAUUUGAGUUAAGUGAAGGACAAUGUGCACUGAGACGGUGGUGUCCUUUUUUAUACGUGUUAAUUUGUAAGAAUUUUUAUCCGAGUUUAAACCCGGUGUUAUAAAAUCAAAACUAGUCUAUGCGAUGUGGUUUUACUACGAACUUAAAUUUAAGUUACUUCUAAGUUUUUUAUAAAAUGAUUUUCUUCUCUAUUGUACUGGUUGAUAAUAUUUUUAAG